This is a long non-coding RNA of Sorghum bicolor (sorghum), 688 nucleotides long. RefSeq lists it as uncharacterized. The transcript has 4 exons. NCBI's taxonomy places the organism in Eukaryota, Viridiplantae, Streptophyta, Magnoliopsida, Poales, Poaceae. The record is from RefSeq and is a predicted model, not a curated record.
UCCUCACCAGACGCCGCCCCUCUCCUGACCUUCUCCCGAGUGGCAUGGCCUAGGCAUUACACAGGCGCGGCCACCACUUGGCCGCACGGCGUCCUGGCCCUCACACGCAGCAGCAGCCAACUCCUUCCGUCCUGCCGGCCGUGCGAGGUGUUGAAGGGGGCACCUGAUCUUUGGCGUCGAGGACCUGCGGUGAGCCUUCACCGGACCUGCGGACGUGUUCGGAGGAGCGGCGCUAGAUCUGCAGCGGAGCUGCGCAGGCAUGUCCAUGAUGAUAGUGGUAUGGCCGCGCGCAGUAGACCAACGCAUCCAGCAUCUCCAACAUCGGACCUGUGGCAGAGCUGGAUUUUGAGAGAAAUAAAGAUAUACAGAAACUUCUGUACUGCUUGCUGCUGAUGUGACCAAAGACGGGCAUACAUAAGGCAAGGAAUAAGAGAUCUAAGUGUGGCUUGACCUGAAAUUGUCUGGUAGUUAUGGAAAGAUGGACCAAAAAUAGAUGGACAAAGAAUUUAGUUUGAAAAUUUGCCUCUUUAUUAUUAGGUGUAGAUAUAGAUUUGUAUCUUAUAGCAGCCUGGCCUGGUUUGGUGUUUGUUAUUUAUGCAAAUGUACCACAGUUGGUGACUUUGUAAUAUGAGCAUAUUGUCGUGUAUUUGAGUUGAUGUAUACGGGCUCGACAUUAUAAUAUAAUAAU